RNAcentral lists this ribosomal RNA (142 nucleotides) under uncultured eukaryote. Its description in RNAcentral is "partial 18S ribosomal RNA". It matches the Rfam family "Eukaryotic small subunit ribosomal RNA", at positions 1299 to 1458 of the family's 1831-position model. The record is from RNAcentral.
UGGUGGAGUGAUUUGUCUGGUUAAUUCCGUUAACGAACGAGACCCCCGCCUGCUAAAUAGUACUAAUAAUGCUUAGCAUUGUUGGACUUACUUCUUAGAGGGACUUCUGGUGACUAACCAGAGGAAGUUGGGGGCAAUAACA